UGGGUAACCUGCCCCGAUAACCGGGACAACCCGAGGAAACUCGGGCUAAUACCGGAUGUGCUCGCCGGACAUCAGUCCGGCGCGUAAAGGAAGCUUCGGCCUCCGUAUCGGGAGGGGCCCGCGGCCCAUUAGCUAGUUGGUGAGGUAACGGCUCACCAAGGCCGCGAUGGGUAGCUGGUCUGAGAGGACGAUCAGCCACACUGGGACUGAGACACGGCCCAGACUCCUACGGGAGGCAG
This 239-nucleotide ribosomal RNA is filed under the name uncultured bacterium. RNAcentral's name for it is "partial 16S ribosomal RNA". It matches the Rfam family "Bacterial small subunit ribosomal RNA", at positions 118 to 351 of the family's 1533-position model. The record is from RNAcentral.